RNAcentral lists this ribosomal RNA (216 nucleotides) under Glomeromycotina sp. Its description in RNAcentral is "partial small subunit ribosomal RNA". The stretch from base 40 to 216 matches the Rfam family "Eukaryotic small subunit ribosomal RNA", at positions 686 to 864 of the family's 1831-position model. The record is from RNAcentral. Lineage: Eukaryota; Fungi; Glomeromycota.
GGGUCAGUAGGUUGGUCGUGCCUCCGGUACGUACUGGUCUCACUGAUUCCUCCUUCCUGAAGAACCGUAAUGCCAUUAAUUUGGUGUUGCGGGGAAACAGGACUGUUACUUUGAAAAGAUUAGAGUGUUUAAAGCAAGCUAACGCUUGAAUACAUUAGCAUGGAAUAAUGAAAUAGGACGAUCGAUCCUAUUUUGUUGGUUUCUAGGAUUGACGUA